RNAcentral lists this long non-coding RNA (215 nucleotides) under Eucalyptus grandis. RNAcentral's name for it is "long non-coding RNA (EGRA_LNC007524)". The record is from RNAcentral. Lineage: Eukaryota; Viridiplantae; Streptophyta; Magnoliopsida; Myrtales; Myrtaceae.
CCAGGACUAUGUAUCGCCGACCCUUUCAUUUAUAUAUGCACAUGCGGAAGCAGUCAUAAAAUCCCCAAACAAUAAAGCAAUGAGAUAUACAAGUAGGACUAGGAAAUUGAACCUGAAAACCAACACCCUUAUGCUCAUAUACAAGCCAUACUAAAUCGAUUGGUUUCUACUCAAAUUGAUUUUAUAACAAUCGUCAUCAGAAUCCUACUCCGGAU